CUCAUAGCGUAUAUUAAGUUGUUGCAGUUAGAACGCUCGUAGUCGGAUUUCGGGGCGGGCCGACCGGUCUGCCGAUGGGUAUGCACUGGCCGGCGCGUCCUUCCUCUCGGAGACCGUUCCUACUCUUAACUGAGCGGGAGCGGGAGACGGGACUUUUACUUUGAAAAAAUCAGAGUGUUUCAAGCAGGCAGCUCGCUCUUGCAUGGAUUAGCAUGGGAUAAUGAAAUAGGACUUUGGUGCUAUUUUGUUGGUUUCGAACACCGAAGUAAUGAUGAGAAGGGACAGUCAGGGGCACUCGUAUUCCGCCGAGAGAGGUGAAAUUCUCAGACCAGCGGAAGACGAACCACUGCGAAAGCAUUUGCCAGGGAUGUUUUCACUGAUCAAGAACGAAAGUUAGGGGAUCGAAGACGAUCAGAUACCGUCGUAGUCUUAACCAUAAACCAUGCCGACUAGGGAUCGGAGGAUGUUCACAUAUUGACUCCUUCGGCACCUUACGGGAAACUAAAGUCUUUGGGUUCCGGGGGGAGUAUGGUCGCAAGGCUGAAACUUAAAGGAAUUGACGGAAGGGCACCACCAGGUGUGGAGCCUGCGGCUUAAUUUGACUCAACACGGGGAAACUUAC
RNAcentral lists this ribosomal RNA (622 nucleotides) under uncultured eukaryote. RNAcentral's name for it is "SSU rRNA". It matches the Rfam family "Eukaryotic small subunit ribosomal RNA", at positions 591 to 1218 of the family's 1831-position model. The record is from RNAcentral.